AUGUCUACAGGUUCUGUCCCUAUGGGAUCCAAGCUCCAGGAGCCAUGUCCCUUUGGCCAGUGGACUGUCCAGCCGGCUACUACUGCCCUUUGGGCACCCAGAGCCCCACCCAGCACCCUUGUCCCAGGGGCACCUUCAGGGAGAGGCCUGGCGCACGCAGCACUCAGGACUGCAGGCCCUGCCCUGCUGGACAGUUCUGCUUGGACUCAGGGGCUGGGAAACGCUUCCCGGACGGGCCAUGCUCGGCAGGUUACUACUGUCCCCCUGGCCAGACCUCAGCCACCCCUUCAUCUUUCCGGUGCCCUCCCGGCUUCUCCUGUCCAGAAGGUUCUCCCCAGCCGAGGGCCUGUGAGAAUGGAACAUUCCAGCCCCGGGAGGCCCAGGGGUCCUGUGAGCCCUGUCCUGCUGGGUUCUACUGCCAGGCCUCAGGCACAGGUCCCUCUGCCAGAGCCCCCAAACCAUGCAUCCAGGGUUACUUCUGCCCCCCCGGCUCCCACUCAGCCACUGCCCACCCGUGCCCUAGAGGGACCUUCGGGCCCAGGCAAGGGGCCGCUGCAGAGCUGGACUGUGAGUUGUGCCCAGCAGGUUGGUGAACUCUGGACAGGAGCCCUCAGGAAGCCUGACUAAGAGGCUGGGAGAGAACAGGAAGAGUAGAAAAGGCAGCAGGAAGUUCCUGAGAGUAAGGGCCUGGCCCCUGGCCGUUGUCAGGGCAGCACCUGGAAAGUCCAGGUCCAC
Molecule: long non-coding RNA, 735 nt
Organism: Bos indicus x Bos taurus (hybrid cattle)
Lineage: Eukaryota; Metazoa; Chordata; Mammalia; Artiodactyla; Bovidae
Source: Ensembl